AAGGCUUUAGCUUAAUAAAAGCAUCUGGCUUGCAUUCAGAAGAUACAGGUUAGUGUCCUGUUAGCCUUA
This 69-nucleotide transfer RNA is filed under the name Aepypodius arfakianus (wattled brush turkey). RNAcentral's name for it is "tRNA-Ala". It matches the Rfam family "tRNA". From Rfam's summary of the family: Transfer RNA (tRNA) molecules are approximately 80 nucleotides in length. Their secondary structure includes four short double-helical elements and three loops (D, anti-codon, and T loops). Lineage: Eukaryota; Metazoa; Chordata; Aves; Galliformes; Megapodiidae. RNAcentral also lists the same sequence under 1 other name. The record is from RNAcentral.